This 464-nucleotide ribosomal RNA is filed under the name Vreelandella stevensii. RNAcentral's name for it is "partial 16S ribosomal RNA". It matches the Rfam family "Bacterial small subunit ribosomal RNA", at positions 338 to 794 of the family's 1533-position model. Lineage: Bacteria; Pseudomonadati; Pseudomonadota; Gammaproteobacteria; Oceanospirillales; Halomonadaceae. The record is from RNAcentral.
CCUACGGGCGGCAGCAGUGGGGAAUAUUGGACAAUGGGGGGAACCCUGAUCCAGCCAUGCCGCGUGUGUGAAGAAGGCCCUCGGGUUGUAAAGCACUUUCAGUGAGGAAGAACGCCUGGUGGUUAAUACCCAUCAGGAAAGACAUCACUCACAGAAGAAGCACCGGCUAACUCCGUGCCAGCAGCCGCGGUAAUACGGAGGGUGCGAGCGUUAAUCGGAAUUACUGGGCGUAAAGCGCGCGUAGGUGGCUUGAUAAGCCGGUUGUGAAAGCCCCGGGCUCAACCUGGGAACGGCAUCCGGAACUGUCAAGCUAGAGUGCAGGAGAGGAAGGUAGAAUUCCCGGUGUAGCGGUGAAAUGCGUAGAGAUCGGGAGGAAUACCAGUGGCGAAGGCGGCCUUCUGGACUGACACUGACACUGAGGUGCGAAAGCGUGGGUAGCAAACAGGAUUAGAUACCCCUGUAUC